RNAcentral lists this ribosomal RNA (253 nucleotides) under uncultured bacterium. RNAcentral's name for it is "partial 16S ribosomal RNA". It matches the Rfam family "Bacterial small subunit ribosomal RNA", at positions 524 to 776 of the family's 1533-position model. The record is from RNAcentral.
UACGGAGGGUGCAAGCGUUAUCCGGAUUUACUGGGCGUAAAGCGGGCGUAGGCGGCUUUUCAAGUCGGAUGUGAAAUCUCCCGGCUCAACCGGGAGGGGCCAUUCGAUACUGUUGGGCUAGAGGGCAGCAGAGGGAAGUGGAAUUCCCGGUGUAGUGGUGAUAUGCGUAGAUAUCGGGAGGAACACCAGUGGCGAAGGCGGCUUCCUGGGCUGUUGCUGACGCUGAGGCCCUAAAGCGUGGGGAGCGAACAGG